This 29-nucleotide non-coding RNA is filed under the name Mus musculus (house mouse). The record is from RNAcentral. Lineage: Eukaryota; Metazoa; Chordata; Mammalia; Rodentia; Muridae.
UNGUAACAUAUUCAGGCCAUAAAGAUGGA